Molecule: transfer-messenger RNA, 356 nt
Filed under: human gut metagenome
Rfam family: transfer-messenger RNA
About the family: Bacterial tmRNA, also known as 10Sa RNA or SsrA, is named for its dual tRNA and mRNA-like properties. Its role is to liberate the mRNA from a stalled ribosome.
Source: RNAcentral
GGGGAUGUAUUUGGUUUCGACAGUAUCCUUGAAGUAUAAAUAGCGAGUAGUGGAUGGUUGCUUUGGCCACUAUAAAAAAGCAAAAUAAAAUAUAAACGCUGAUAAUAGAGAAUUAGCAUACGCUGCCUAAGUGCAGUGUCGUCUUACCUUUACCUCCCACAGUUUAGGAUAAGGCGUAAGAUAGUGGGAAACGAACCAAUUUGAGGUCAUGCAAAUUGCGGGUAUUUAUAUGGCUACCUAUUAGCUAACCUUGUUUGUUAAGUUACUAAUUAGGGAAUUUUAUUAACAAACUGCACUCGGAGAAUUUUAUAUGAAUAGAAUAUUGGACAGGAGUUCGACUCUCCUCAUCUCCACCA